Canis lupus familiaris (dog) is the source of this 825-nucleotide long non-coding RNA. RefSeq lists it as uncharacterized. NCBI's taxonomy places the organism in Eukaryota, Metazoa, Chordata, Mammalia, Carnivora, Canidae. The record is from RefSeq and is a predicted model, not a curated record. The transcript has 3 exons.
CGGCGCGGCAGCCUGGUCCGCUCCCGCCCGGCGCCUCGGGCCCUCUCUGCUCCGCCGCGCGCUUUGCCUCCCGCCCCGGCCCCUGCUUCUCCGCGCUGCCCUCCCCACCGUUGCUUCUCCCGUCUUCCCAUCCCCGGGGAAGACAGGGCCACCUCGGUCGUUCCCCCAACGAUUGCUUUCUCUAGAGUCCCAGGGGUCAGCCUCUCCGUGACCACUUUUCUAUGGACCCUGUUUUCUUUCUCUGUCUCCUGCUUUCUCUCUUCCCCGUAUCUCUGUCUCGCCCUGAUUCCCUGUCCCCUCAUUGUCCCUCUCUUCACUUGGCUCUGUGUGUCCGUCACGGUCUCUCUUGUCUCAGCCUCUCUCGCCUGUCCCAGGAACCCUGCAUGCCUGUGCCUCUGUCCCCUCCCCCGCCCCGGGGCUCCCCACCAUCCGCAGGUGAAAGCCACAGACUGUCCAGACACCCCUGCUUCAAGUCCAUUCCCGGAGAAUUGGUGUGCCUGGCUGUAGUCAGAACCUGUUACCAGGCCCUGUGUUCUUCGUGGGACUGAAAUGCACAUAAAUGUGGCCACCUGGCUCCUUUCUGUGUCCCCUCCCUGCUCCGGGGCGUAGCCUGGGUAGGAGUGCCCUGGACCAGGUAGCAACCUCCAGGAUCAGUCUGGGCAUCACCUCCUCCUCCUGAAGGCCUUCCAGGCUCGCUUUCCCAGCCCCCAGCUUCUCCUGGCACCUGGCACUUUAUCUGGUGUAAUCUUCACUAACCCCUUCGAGUGGGACGCCUGGGUGGCUCAGCGGUUUGGUGCCUGCCCUUGACCCACGGCCUGAUCCUGG